Molecule: ribosomal RNA, 838 nt
Filed under: uncultured marine bacterium
Lineage: Bacteria
Description: bacterial SSU rRNA
Rfam family: Bacterial small subunit ribosomal RNA
Source: RNAcentral
UGGCUCAGAACGAACGCUGGCGGCAGGCCUAACACAUGCAAGUCGAGCGCGCCUUUCGGGGUGAGCGGCGGACGGGUUAGUAACGCGUGGGAAUAUGCCCUUUGGUACGGAAUAGCCUCUGGAAACGGAGAGUAAUACCGUAUGAGCCCUUCGGGGGAAAGAUUUAUCGCCAAAGGAUUAGCCCGCGUUAGAUUAGGUAGUUGGUGGGGUAAUGGCCUACCAAGCCUACGAUCUAUAGCUGGUUUUAGAGGAUGAUCAGCAACACUGGGACUGAGACACGGCCCAGACUCCUACGGGAGGCAGCAGUGGGGAAUCUUGGACAAUGGGGGCAAUCCUGAUCCAGCCAUGCCGCGUGAGUGAUGAAGGCCUUAGGGUCGUAAAGCUCUUUCGCCUGUGAAGAUAAUGACGGUAGCAGGUAAAGAAACCCCGGCUAACUCCGUGCCAGCAGCCGCGGUAAUACGGAGGGGGUUAGCGUUGUUCGGAAUUACUGGGCGUAAAGCGCACGUAGGCGGAUCGGAAAGUUGGGGGUGAAAUCCCGGGGCUCAACCCCGGAACUGCCUCCAAAACUAUCGGUCUAGAGUUCGAGAGAGGUGAGUGGAAUUCCGAGUGUAGAGGUGAAAUUCGUAGAUAUUCGGAGGAACACCAGUGGCGAAGGCGGCUCACUGGCUCGAUACUGACGCUGAGGUGCGAAAGUGUGGGGAGCAAACAGGAUUAGAUACCCUGGUAGUCCACACCGUAAACGAUGAAUGCCAGUCGUCGGGUAGCAUGCUAUUCGGUGACACACCUAACGGAUUAAGCAUUCCGCCUGGGGAGUACGGUCGCAAGAUUAAAACUCAAA